AUGCUGGGUUACGACGGUGGCAGCAGCGACUCGGAGUGUGAAGGACCCACGAUGAACGAGCAGGAGAAGCAGACGCCGCUCAUGCCUGAUUUCUGGCUCAUCAUCAGGAUCCAUCAGGACCGGGUGCAGGUUUUCUCUCACUCCAGGAGUUUGCAUCGAGGGAAAGAGGAGGAAGAGGAGGAGGAGAUCCCCGAAUACCUGCGCCUUCAUCAGCUGGUGGUGCGCAGGAUUGGAGAAAUGUGCCGAAUAGUCAACCAGCGCCUCCUGCUGCAGGAUCUGCAUGACAGUCGUGUGUGCCACUCUCUCCUGGUGGCGGAGAGUGAGGAGGACAUCUGGAAACAUGAGUCGCUCUACCGGCCCCGGAUGACCCACUCUGAUGACUAUAAUGCUGACGAGAGCUAUCAGCGGCGGGAUUACCUCGCCGCCACCAUGCACUUCAUACCGGGUUACUUCGCCUGUGACGUGGUGUGGAGCACCGUUAUUUACAUCCACCCGCGGCUCAAGAUGGGGCCCAACAUGGGUGUGUCCCGCGCUAUGCAGGCUCUGCACUCCGUUCUCAACGCUUUCUGUGUGGUGAACCGCAAAAACAUGUUUGUCUAUCAGGAGCGCACCACUAAAUCUGUGUUCUACCUCCGGCUCUCCGAGACGUCUCAGGCAGGGAAGUACAGUGAUUUGGAUGGAAACGUGCACAUGUCGCGCUCUGUCGGUCUGGCUCGCAGCCAGGAGCCGCUAGGCUCAGAGGACCUCACGGGAUCGCGCUCGUCUCUGGAAGGCUCGAGGCCAGUUGGACUGGUGGACAAACACAUUCUGCUGCUAGUUCAUGGUGUAGGAACUGCAGGUCCAGAGAUCUCGGAUGAGCUGAUGAAGCUCUUGAGGAAGCGUCUGGAUGAAGCCACACUGGACAUUAUUACAGUCAUGCUGGUCAGAAACUGCAAACUGACCCCUGCAGAUGUGGAGUUUAUCCAGCCUCCCGGGUCUCCAGCGACGGAGGUGAUGGAGUUCUGUCUGCCUCAGUACUGUGGGCCGUGGAUCCAGGCGGUGGCUCACUAUCUCCGGCAGAACCUGCUCAUUUUUCUCCACAUCCCCAAAUACACUGACAGCAACAUCGAGCACCACUUUAAGCAUUAUUUCCAUUCAAGUAGCGAGCUGCCCGAUCAUGACAUCUACCUGUACAAUAAACCUGGAGGACAGGGCACCGGAGGCAAAGGUACAAUGUCGGACCUUGUUCAGAAUCUUUUCCCAACCUCUCAGUUUCAAGGUAUAAAAGGCCCUCCGCACUUCACUGCUAUGCUGCAGCGCCCCCAUGCACUGGCUGUGUGUGCUAAUGCAUGGUCAUGUGUCAGCUUAAAAUGAUUGUGCACCAUAAAAUAAUUUUUUUUUUUGUUUUUUUGUUUUAGAGAACUUACUGCAUUGGGUUUGUUUCAGUACAGAUUGUGUGUUUAAUUAAUAAAUUAUUGCAUUUAUAUUAUUAUAAUAGUUUUGGAUGCAUUAUUUAUUCAUAUAUGUAUUCAGCAAGAAUGCAUUGCAUUCAAUCAGAGGCAGCAGUAAAGACUUUUUAAAUAAAAGACAUUUUUAAUAAAUGUAAUUCAGCUUUCAUUCAUAGACAUAAGUUGCAAAAUAGAAAAUAUAUAUUUAUUUAAUCCCCCCCCCCAAAAAAAAAUAAAUAAAAACAGCACUAGUGAACAUUGUAGACUUUCAUUAAAAUAUUUAAAAUAUAUUUAAAUCCUCCCCAAUCAAUACAGCUAUAGUAAAC
This is a long non-coding RNA of Danio rerio (zebrafish), 1753 nucleotides long. The record is from Ensembl. Lineage: Eukaryota; Metazoa; Chordata; Actinopteri; Cypriniformes; Danionidae.